GUGGUUGAUUCCCAUACAGUGGCAGGCCUAAAUGGAGGGGUACGAGCUGCUAUUGUAGCCUUGCAGAGUGCAGCUGCCGGGGUGGAAAUCUGCUGGGCUUGCCCCUUUUAACAUCAUCACUCUUUCUCUUUUGUGCAAGGGAAAGAGACUAUCUAAUCGACGACGAUUAGCACAUUGCCUCGGCCCAUCGUCCAUCGGCAAUCGAGGCAACAUCCGGCGCUAAACGUGCCGAAGCUAGUCAUCUCUUCUUUCUCGUAUUGUAAUAGAGUAGCUAUACGUGUAAACUUUCUUUAACGCGUAAUAGUUAGUUGAGUUGUGUAUUUCAUUUUUCCUUUAUUUUCAUCGUCAAUAUUUGUAAUACACCAUUUAAGUGGAAAUUCUAAAUAUUGUGUUUUGUUUACUCAA
Salvia splendens (bonfire salvia) is the source of this 405-nucleotide long non-coding RNA. RefSeq lists it as uncharacterized. The transcript has 2 exons. Lineage: Eukaryota; Viridiplantae; Streptophyta; Magnoliopsida; Lamiales; Lamiaceae. The record is from RefSeq and is a predicted model, not a curated record.